GAUGAACGCUGGCGGCGUGCCUAAUACAUGCAAGUCGAGCGAACGGACGAGAAGCUUGCUUCUCUGAUGUUAGCGGCGGACGGGUGAGUAACACGUGGAUAACCUACCUAUAAGACUGGGAUAGCUUCGGGAAACCGGAGCUAAUACCGGAUAAUAUUUUGAACCGCAUGGUUCAAAAGUGAAAGACGGUCUUGCUGUCACUUAUAGAUGGAUCCGCGCUGCAUUAGCUAGUUGGUAAGGUAACGGCUUACCAAGGCAACGAUGCAUAGCCGACCUGAGAGGGUGGUCGGCCACACUGGAACUGAGACACGGUCCAGGCUCCUACGGGAGGCAGCAGUAGGGAAUCUUCCGCAAUGGGCGAAAGCCUGACGGAGCAACGCCGCGUGAGUGAUGAAGGUCUUCGGAUCGUAAAACUCUGUUAUUAGGGAAGAACAUAUGUGUAAGUAACUGUGCACAUCUUGACGGUACCUAAUCAGAAAGCCACGGCUAACUACGUG
This 497-nucleotide ribosomal RNA is filed under the name uncultured bacterium. Its description in RNAcentral is "partial 16S ribosomal RNA". It matches the Rfam family "Bacterial small subunit ribosomal RNA", at positions 28 to 507 of the family's 1533-position model. The record is from RNAcentral.